UUAAGUUCAGCGGGUAUUCCUACCUGAUCCGAGGUCAACCACUAAAAAUUUGGGGGUUUUAUGGCGGGAGGAUAGAGCCUUACAGAAGCGAGAAAUAAAUUUACUACGCUCAGAGGACAACUAUCGCUCCGCCACUGUCUUUAAGGAACUACAAUACAGUAGAUUCCCAACACUAAGCUAGGCUUAAGGGUUGAAAUGAC
This 200-nucleotide unclassified non-coding RNA is filed under the name Arthrinium sp. Its description in RNAcentral is "partial internal transcribed spacer 2". Lineage: Eukaryota; Fungi; Ascomycota; Sordariomycetes; Amphisphaeriales; Apiosporaceae. The record is from RNAcentral.